Molecule: ribosomal RNA, 468 nt
Filed under: uncultured bacterium
Lineage: Bacteria
Description: partial 16S ribosomal RNA
Rfam family: Bacterial small subunit ribosomal RNA
Source: RNAcentral
GACGAACGCUGGCGGCGUGCUUAACACAUGCAAGUCGAACGGAAAGGCCCUGCUUUUGUGGGGUGCUCGAGUGGCGAACGGGUGAGUAACACGUGAGUAACCUGCCCUUGACUUUGGGAUAACUUCAGGAAACUGGGGCUAAUACCGGAUAGGAGCUCCUGCUGCAUGGUGGGGGUUGGAAAGUUUCGGCGGAUGGGGAUGGACUCGCGGCUUAUCAGCUUGUUGGUGGGGUAGUGGCUUACCAAGGCUUUGACGGGUAGCCGGCCUGAGAGGGUGACCGGCCACAUUGGGACUGAGAUACGGCCCAGACUCCUACGGUAGGCAGCAGUGGGGAAUAUUGCACAAUGGGCGGAAGCCUGAUGCAGCAACGCCGCGUGCGGGAUGACGGCCUUCGGGUUGUAAACCGCUUUCGCCUGUGACGAAGCGUGAGUGACGGUAAUGGGUAAAGAAGCACCGGCUAACUACGUG